GGUAAUAAGACAAAUUUACUCACCAACUUUAUUUUCUUAAAAAUCAUUAUAAAUAAUAUGUAUACAAUGCUUGUGGUGCAAAUCAUUUUACACAACAAAUUACGGUAAAUAUCAAUAAUA
Long non-coding RNA from Trachymyrmex septentrionalis, 120 nucleotides. RefSeq lists it as uncharacterized. Lineage: Eukaryota; Metazoa; Arthropoda; Insecta; Hymenoptera; Formicidae. The record is from RefSeq and is a predicted model, not a curated record. The transcript is spliced from 3 exons.